UCCCUGGUGUCUAGUGGCUAGGAUUUGGCGCUUUCACUGCUGUGGCCCGGGUUCAAUCCCUGGUUUGGGAA
RNAcentral lists this transfer RNA (71 nucleotides) under Sus scrofa (pig). It matches the Rfam family "tRNA". Rfam says of the family: Transfer RNA (tRNA) molecules are approximately 80 nucleotides in length. Their secondary structure includes four short double-helical elements and three loops (D, anti-codon, and T loops). Lineage: Eukaryota; Metazoa; Chordata; Mammalia; Artiodactyla; Suidae. The record is from Rfam by way of RNAcentral.